ACGGGAGGUAGCAGUGGGGGAUAUUGCACAAUGGGGGAAACCCUGAUGCAGCGACGCCGCGUGAGUGAAUAAGUAUUUCGGUAUGUAAAGCUCUAUCAGCAGGAAAGAUAAUGACGGUACCUGACUAAGAAGCACCGGCUAAAUACGUGCCAGCAGCCGCGGUAAUACGUAUGGUGCAAGCGUUAUCCGGAUUUACUGGGUGUAAAGGGAGCGCAGACGGCAUGGCAAGCCAGAUGUGAAAGGCAGGGGCUCAACUCCUGGACUGCAUUUGAAACUGUCAAGCUAGAGUAUCGGAGAGGUAAGUGGAAUUCCUAGUGUAGCGGUGAAAUGCGUAGAUAUUAGGAGGAACACCAGUGGCGAAGGCGGCUUACUGGACGAUAACUGACGUUGAGGCUCGAAAGCGUGGGGAGCAAACAGGAUUAGAUACCCUGGUA
Molecule: ribosomal RNA, 434 nt
Filed under: uncultured Lachnospiraceae bacterium
Lineage: Bacteria; Bacillati; Bacillota; Clostridia; Lachnospirales; Lachnospiraceae
Description: partial 16S ribosomal RNA
Rfam family: Bacterial small subunit ribosomal RNA
Source: RNAcentral